RNAcentral lists this small RNA (244 nucleotides) under Arabidopsis thaliana (thale cress). RNAcentral describes it as "ATSL302130". The record is from RNAcentral. Lineage: Eukaryota; Viridiplantae; Streptophyta; Magnoliopsida; Brassicales; Brassicaceae.
UAGAAGGUACUUACUAGAAGUUGAGUAGUGCUCCGGUUAUUUCAAAAAACAUUACUCAACCUAUAAGGCCAUCUCCAAGGGAACUGCAAAACUUUAAAAUAGCGUGGGAAUGUUAACUUUUUCUCUCCAACCAAACUGUAUAAUUUACACUAUUAUAGUGUGAUUCCUUUUUUUUCAACAGUAUAUCACUAUAUUUGGUGUGUCACUGUAGACAACGGCAAAAGAUAGAAUAUUAUUAUUUUUU